Molecule: ribosomal RNA, 407 nt
Filed under: uncultured bacterium
Lineage: Bacteria
Description: partial 16S ribosomal RNA
Rfam family: Bacterial small subunit ribosomal RNA
Source: RNAcentral
GACGAACGCUGGCGGCGUGCCUAAUACAUGCAAGUAGAACGCAGUUGCGAACGGGUGAGUAACGCGUAGGUAACUGCCUCAUAGCGGGGGAUAACUAUUGGAAACGAUAGCUAAUACCGCAUACUGUGAGAUGGACCUGCGUUGUAUUAGCUAUUUUGUGAGGUAAAGGCUCACCAAGGCGACGAUACAUAGCCGACCUGCGAGGUGGUUCGGCCACACUGUGACUGAGGUACGGCCCAGACUGCUUCGGGAGGCAGCAGUAGGGAAUCUUCGGCAAAGGGCUGAAGGUUGAGCGGGACACGCCGCGGGGGUGAAGAAGGGUUUCGGAUUGUAAAGCUCUGUUGUUAGAGAAGCGGUAUCUAACCAGAAAGGGACGGCUAAAUACGUGCCAGCAGCCGCGGUAAUAC